ACAACACUAGGACUGUCGGUCUACCGAGCAAUUUCACUGGCUGGAUGGAAAAUCUUCCCUUAGUCGU
This 67-nucleotide microRNA precursor is filed under the name Bombyx mori (domestic silkworm). RNAcentral's name for it is "mir-2774 microRNA precursor family". It matches the Rfam family "mir-2774 microRNA precursor family". Lineage: Eukaryota; Metazoa; Arthropoda; Insecta; Lepidoptera; Bombycidae. The record is from Rfam by way of RNAcentral.